RNAcentral lists this ribosomal RNA (252 nucleotides) under uncultured Bacteroidales bacterium. Its description in RNAcentral is "partial 16S ribosomal RNA". It matches the Rfam family "Bacterial small subunit ribosomal RNA", at positions 524 to 776 of the family's 1533-position model. Lineage: Bacteria; Pseudomonadati; Bacteroidota; Bacteroidia; Bacteroidales. The record is from RNAcentral.
UACGGAGGAUGCGAGCGUUAUCCGGAUUUAUUGGGUUUAAAGGGUGCGUAGGCGGAAUAUCAAGUCAGCGGUAAAAAUUCGGGGCUCAACCCCGUCGUGCCGUUGAAACUGAUGUUCUUGAGUGGGCGAGAAGUAUGCGGAAUGCGUGGUGUAGCGGUGAAAUGCUUAGAUAUCACGAAGAACUCCGAUUGCGAAGGCAGCGUACCGGCGCCACACUGACGCUGAGGCACGAAAGCGUGGGUAGCAAACAGG